Molecule: unclassified non-coding RNA, 234 nt
Filed under: air metagenome
Description: partial contains small subunit ribosomal RNA, internal transcribed spacer 1, and 5.8S ribosomal RNA
Rfam family: Eukaryotic small subunit ribosomal RNA (bases 1-46)
Source: RNAcentral
AAGUCGUAACAAGGUUUCCGUAGGUGAACCUGCGGAAGGAUCAUUACAGAGAACAUCGCCCUCACGGGUGACUCUCCAACCCUAUGUUAUUGUACCUUUGUUGCUUUGGCGAGCCGCUUCGGCCACCGGCUUCUGCUGGUGUGUGCUCGCCAGAGGACCCCAAACUCUGAAUAUUAAUGUCGUCUGAGUACUAUAUAAUAGUUAAAACUUUCAACAACGGAUCUCUUGGUUCUG